This 102-nucleotide non-coding RNA is filed under the name Bacillus sp. (in: firmicutes). Its description in RNAcentral is "Bacillus sp. Guanine sequence". It matches the Rfam family "Purine riboswitch aptamer". From Rfam's summary of the family: Riboswitches are metabolite binding domains within certain messenger RNAs that serve as precision sensors for their corresponding targets. Allosteric rearrangement of mRNA structure is mediated by ligand binding, and this results in modulation of gene expression. A class of riboswitches that selectively recognises guanine and becomes saturated at concentrations as low as 5 nM. Lineage: Bacteria; Bacillati; Bacillota; Bacilli; Caryophanales; Bacillaceae. RNAcentral also lists the same sequence under 1 other name. The record is from RNAcentral.
UGUUAUAACAUUUUAAAAGCUCAUAUAAUAGCAAGAAUAAGGCUUGCGAGUUUCUACCAAACUACCGUAAAUAGUUUGACUAUGGGUGAAUAAAAAUUGGUU